Long non-coding RNA from Sciurus carolinensis (gray squirrel), 2370 nucleotides. RefSeq lists it as uncharacterized. NCBI's taxonomy places the organism in Eukaryota, Metazoa, Chordata, Mammalia, Rodentia, Sciuridae. The transcript is spliced from 3 exons. The record is from RefSeq and is a predicted model, not a curated record.
CCUAAGGCAGCCCUCUACCCCUCCUGGCCCUGGGCUGGGACCUGGUGUUGUGAGGGGACCUCCCGGCUCCGGUGCUGCUGAAGCUGGAGCCGGCUGAGGCCAGGUGGCACGCAGGAUACUCCUGCCAGGAGCGCUUCCAUGCACCAGGAGACAAAGUUCUGGCAUCUGUGAGGCGCACAUUCGAGGGAAGAGACAAAGAACAAAGAAAAACCCAAUACUGCAAUCCAGGGAGCCGGAUGAGCUCCACAGGAAAAACAAGCCUGGUGGACCAGGGAACUCGAGGACUGGGUGCUGGAAAAGGAGGGCGCAGCCUUCCCGAUGUCGGCCACCAGCCUGAAACUGCCCAGUCCGCCUGACCAUCCUGUCACCAUGUCCAUUUUACAGAUGAAGAAACAGAGGCCUGGGGGAUGAAGCAGUCUGCCCCAGCCCGAGCUGCUGGGACGCAGACCCAGGCCGUCCCCGGAGCGCACCUUCCCCCUUGUUCUUCGGGCACUGGUUCCUCAGCCUCGCCCUGAGCCCUAGGGAAGCACCGCCCGCAGCCAGACCCAGGCCCAGCAGGCAGGGAGCUGGCUUCCUGGGAGGAGGCAGAGAGCAGAGCAGAGCUUGAUGACAGGAGGCUCGCAGAUGCGGCCAGGGCGAAGGACAGAGGGGCGGGUGCUUGGGCGGGUGCAGAGGGGCCGGGCCGCGGACUGGGCUCGCAGCCCUGAGGCUCCGAGAAGGACAAGGGGCAGUGACCCCAGCCUGACCCAUGCCAAUGCCGACGACCACCCCAGUGCAAACCAGGAGAACGGCGGCCAGGACGAGGCCCACUGCCCAGGACAACCCAGGCCCCGCGGGUGACCAGCCCUGCCUCUGCCGGAAGUGCCAGGACUUGAGCCCAGCUGGCUAGCGGACACCAGCAGAGAAGCGGCCACCCCCCAUUCCCGAAGGGCCUGGUGAGCCGGUGUUGGAGCCGGAGUCACCAGCUCAUCCGCUCACUCAUCCACUCAGCUCUGUGGACCGGCCACCUCGAGGGACCACGGCAGGGAAUGGGACCUGGUCGCUCCUCCAGGGGCAGCCCUGUGGAGCAGGGAGACUGGGAGGACUGGACACAUGAGGAGUCGGGAGAGGCCCUGGGGCCAAGGGGAGGGAGACCACCAGCCAGCACAAGGCAGGCUCUGCUGCAGGGAGGGGGGAGGGGACGCGCCACCCUUGCUCAGGAGGCCCUGCCCCUUUGGAGGCCCCUUUGGUCUCAGGGUCCCUGCAGCCCACCCUGUCCCAGUGGUGCCCAGGCAGGGCCAGAGCCUGGGCACCUGCCUCUCGCUGCCCACCCCUGGCUCCUCAGGGCCCUGCCCCUCCCUCCUGGGUUGCCGACCACCCGACAGCACAGCCAGGUGGGAGAGGCCAGCCUCCCAACAUCCAGUGUGGGGCUCACCCUCCUCGGGCUGCCCUGCCCUGUCCUCUGCCUGGGCACGUGAAGGUGGGGACAGGGCCAGAGCACAGCACAGCACACCCCUGGGUGCUUUUGACCAGCCUGCCCCUGAGGGUUUGCCACUGUGGUCCCCAUUUUGUGGAGGAAGAGUGGCCUGACGGGUCCGGCUGCUUGCUCAGGUGGCGGAGCAGGGGCUCCAGCUCCGGCAGAGGACACACAGCUGGCCUGCAGAGAGCCCUGGGGUGUGUGGGUACAGCCACUCCCGCAGGCCCGUCUGUGCAGGCCUUGGCAGGUCCCUAGCACAGCCCUGAGCGGCAGCUGCCCCAUCCCAUGUUACGGGCGAAGAAAGCAAGGCUGGGGGGAGUCGCCCCAGACGCUGCAUGGCUUGUGAAAAGGGCCGAGAUUCGAACCCAGGGCCGCUGGGUUCCAGGGCCGAGCACUGCCCCCACCCCAGCGCCACACUGAGGAGCCUCCCAUGCGCAGGCGCCCAGGGCCAGAGGCCUCCCAGCCUCCCCUGAGGGCAGCACCGCCGGCCCCACGACUGAUGCCCACGGCUGCUCUGUCCUCACCCCGGGCUGGUUACCACCACGCAGCCCCUUCUGGAACCACCCUUCUGCCUGCUGGACUGUGAGUCCCUGCAGGGUGCCCACCACUGGGAGGCCUGGGGUUCCUGCCUCCUAGAGGCCUCGACCCUCGGGAGUGUCUCUCACUUGGACCACAGCAGAGUCCUCCUAGCCUGGGACUCUACCCCACCACCCCGUCCAGGAGGUGCCUCCAGUGUGGGGACACAGCAAGACAGGGGGCCCUCCCACAACCUCCCCUGGGGCCAGCCUCAGUCCCUGCACUGCUGGAGUGACAGUGUACAGGGGCUUGGUGUGCAAAUGUGUGUCUCUGUGUAACACCUGGGUGUCUUUGCAUGUGUGUGUUUGAGUGUGAGAGUGUGCCUGAGUGUGCAUGUG